Molecule: long non-coding RNA, 968 nt
Filed under: Homo sapiens (human)
Lineage: Eukaryota; Metazoa; Chordata; Mammalia; Primates; Hominidae
Description: long intergenic non-protein coding RNA 2411
Source: RNAcentral
ACAGUGGGUAAGAGAAGAAAACAUGGAGAAUUAUUUUACAGCUGUGAUGUUGUCAAUUGUACAAUAUCUACUCCAAUUUCCUCCCAUCUUUGAGAUGACUGAUAAGAAUGCCUUAUGUGUCACACAGGAUCAUAACACAAACUUUCUUCUCUUUCCUGAUGCCCCUCUCAAAUUUACUCAGUAGGGGGAACUUCACCUUCUCCUAUGUAAAUGGGCUUUUCUGCUUAUGUUUAAAUAAUAGGCCAUUGUGUGGCAAACAACUCUAUCAAAAGUUGUGUCUUUUACCCUAGCUCCUGGGAAAUAACCACUAAAGUCUUGAAAUGUCUUGAGUGAUUGGAGGACCUUUAUUUUUCACGCCUGAUGCCUUAUGCUGAUGAGAUGACUCAGCAGGGGAUGGCCAGGCCAGAAAGACCAAAACUGUAUCCUGAGGUUUGAGUUUCUGAGCCAGGUGAUGUCAUCCUCCAGCUUGGCCGGCCUCUUUCUGGGAGCCUCUGGUGUGAAAGAGAGCAGAUUUAUUAAAAAUCAUCAACUUCAAAUUAUUUGGAUGGAAACAUUGCCAAAUCAUAGAGAUGUUUGCUACCACCCGCACACCAAGCAGCUGGGUAACUAGAAGUGCAGGAUCAGCUUAUUCACCUCCGAAAGCCUGCAUGCAACCACUGAGGCCGCCUCUAUUUUUUACAUAGUUCUACUUGGUGUAUGUAACCCCACAGAGAAACCUGGAAGAAUGCAUGAAACCUAGUAAGGCAACCAGCACAUGCAACAGAAUGAACCGUUUCUUUCCAUCUGAAUGCCUAAAUGUGGACUCUGAUCCUUUCUACCAAGUCCUAAGUUUGGGAAAAGAGGACAAGGACAGGGGCUCUGUCCCAUAUCAUAAUGUGCUUGUGAAUGGCUAAAAUUACAAUGCUGAGAUAAGUGUGUGUAAUAAAAUAAUUGCACCCCGAAUUGAAGAAUGUUUCACUGUUUAUUUU